AUACGGAGGAUCCGAGCGUUAUCCGGAUUUAUUGGGUUUAAAGGGUGCGCAGGCGGCCAUUUAAGUCAGCGGUUAAAUCGUGGGGCUCAACCCCAUUCUGCCGUUGAUACUGGGUGGCUUGAUUGCGGUCGAGGUUGGCGGAAUUCGUUGUGUAGCGGUGAAAUGCAUAGAAUGACGAAGAACACCGAUUGCGUAGGCAGCUGACCAGACCGCAAAUGACGCUCAUGCACGAAAGUGCGGGGAUCGAACAGGAUUAGAUACCCUGGUAGUCCGCACAGUAAACGAUGAAUACUUGUUUUCGGCGAUAUAAUGUCGGAGGCAAAGCGAAAGCGAUAAGUAUUCCACCUGGGGAGUACGCCGGCAACGGUGAAACUCAAAGGAAUUGACGGGG
Molecule: ribosomal RNA, 391 nt
Filed under: uncultured bacterium
Lineage: Bacteria
Description: partial 16S ribosomal RNA
Rfam family: Bacterial small subunit ribosomal RNA
Source: RNAcentral